AACGCUGGCGGCGUGCCUAACACAUGCAAGUCGAACGGAGUCAAGAAGCUUGCUUUUGACUUAGUGGCGGACGGGUGAGUAACGCGUGAGUAACCUGCCUCUGAGAGGGGAAUAACGUUCUGAAAAGAACGCUAAUACCGCAUAACGUAUCGAAGCCGCAUGACUUUGAUACCAAAGAUUUUAUCGCUCGGAGAUGGACUCGCGUCCGAUUAGUUAGUUGGUGAGGUAACGGCCCACCAAGACCGCGAUCGGUAGCCGGACUGAGAGGUUGAUCGGCCACAUUGGGACUGAGACACGGCCCAGACUCCUACGGGAGGCAGCAGUGGGGGAUAUUGCGCAAUGGGGGCAAACCCCUGACGCAGCAACGCCGCGUGAAGGAUGAAGGUUUUCGGAUUGUAAACUUCUUUUAUCAGGGACGAAGCUUGACGGUACCUGAUGAAUAAGCUCCGGCUAACUACGUGCCAGCCGCGGC
RNAcentral lists this ribosomal RNA (472 nucleotides) under uncultured bacterium. RNAcentral's name for it is "bacterial SSU rRNA". It matches the Rfam family "Bacterial small subunit ribosomal RNA", at positions 32 to 518 of the family's 1533-position model. The record is from RNAcentral.